This 30-nucleotide non-coding RNA is filed under the name Homo sapiens (human). The record is from RNAcentral. Lineage: Eukaryota; Metazoa; Chordata; Mammalia; Primates; Hominidae.
UGGGACUCGAAAGAAAAGGAAGAGGCAGCA